Long non-coding RNA from Puntigrus tetrazona (Sumatra barb), 514 nucleotides. RefSeq lists it as uncharacterized. The record is from RefSeq and is a predicted model, not a curated record. NCBI's taxonomy places the organism in Eukaryota, Metazoa, Chordata, Actinopteri, Cypriniformes, Cyprinidae. The transcript has 4 exons.
GAUAGAUGCCAAGCACGUUAAAGCACUGCUCAGUCAGCUCAGAGAAGGUCAGGUUGUGUUUCCCUAGACACAUCUUCCAGCGAUGCAGCUCAUCGGCAUACCUGAUAAAAGUUCAAACACACACAUACACACACGCACACGUGCUUGAUUUUAUAGACGGAAGUGAUUACAACACCUGUUUCCAAUUAUUUGGAUGGGGUUGGGCGGCACCGGAGCUUCAGUCGGGGUCGGUAACGUGGAAUCCGUAGCCCAGUGUGCAUGAAAACCUUUGGCCUCGAUGAAAAAGUCGGCGAAGAAACGUAUCACAAGCUCAUUGGUUGUGCUAUCGAUGACGGCAGGGAUUUUGGAGCCACAAAAGGGCCCUGUGAGGAAGUUGUGUUCCGUCGUAGACUACCACGUUGUCAUUGCACUGGCCAAAAAGGAUGCCAGCCUCUUCCACGUCAAAAUGAGUGAACGUCAAUUUAAUGGUCUUCCCCUUGGGAACGCGUAUGGUCCACAGACACAUGCUGUUAGC